GCAUCUCUUUUUCAUACCUAAAUCCAAUAUUACAAAGUUAUAAACGAUACACUUUACAAAAAAGGUUAUAUUGUACACAAGCUUGAGAGCUUUAUCUUCCGUAUUCACAAUCUGGUUGAAGCAAAAGUAUCUAGCACAAGUCGAAGUAUCUUCAAAUGCUCGAAUGUGAACGUCCGCUACAAACUCUACGUCUACGUAUGCUAACAUAUCGUUCUCAUACAUUU
This 224-nucleotide long non-coding RNA is filed under the name Capsella grandiflora. RNAcentral describes it as "long non-coding RNA (CGRA_LNC001717)". The record is from RNAcentral. Lineage: Eukaryota; Viridiplantae; Streptophyta; Magnoliopsida; Brassicales; Brassicaceae.